RNAcentral lists this ribosomal RNA (432 nucleotides) under uncultured bacterium. Its description in RNAcentral is "partial 16S ribosomal RNA". It matches the Rfam family "Bacterial small subunit ribosomal RNA", at positions 29 to 507 of the family's 1533-position model. The record is from RNAcentral.
ACGAACGCUGGCGGCAUGCCUAACACAUGCAAGUCGCACGAGACCUUCGGGUCUAGUGGCGCACGGGUGCGUAACGCGUGGGAACCUGCCCUUAGGUUCGGAAUAACUCCCCGAAAGGGGUGCUAAUACCGGAUAAUGUCUUCGGACCAAAGAUUUAUCGCCUUUGGAUGGGCCCGCGUUGGAUUAGCUAGUUGGUAGGGUAAAAGCCUACCAAGGCGACGAUCCAUAGCUGGUCUGAGAGGAUGAUCAGCCACACUGGGACUGAGACACGGCCCAGACUCCUACGGGAGGCAGCAGUGGGGAAUAUUGGACAAUGGGCGAAAGCCUGAUCCAGCAAUGCCGUGUGAGUGAUGAAGGCCUUAGGGUUGUAAAGCUCUUUUACCCGGGAUGAUAAUGACAGUACCGGGAGAAUAAGCUCCGGCUAACUCCGUG